AUUUUACUAUUACAGAAAUGAUGCCAUCGAAGCACACGUACAAGCAGCGCACAAACAUUAUCGUACAAAUUUAUCGUCGUUAGGUAUAAUAAAUAAUAUGUGAACAAUCUAUACUGAGUAAGAAACACAAGUGUUUAUGGUCGUACGUCAGAUCUUUCUGAAGUGAAUUACUUUGUUUUACAUCAGAGCUGUCCAGAUAUCUGACCGUCUAAGGAAAUGAAUUCCUUCUGUCAUUGACCUGGGCCUUAGUUCAUCCUGCAUGAUAGAACGAAUUUAAAAUACAAAAUUCUCAAAUGCUUCCACUGAGUUACAAUAUGACUGAUGCAGAUACUUAUCCUUUUUUUAUAAACGGAUAUGAAAAUAUAUUUAAAAAAAAUACCUCCAGACUUUAUUGUGAAGGCCUUAUAAAACAUAGUUUAUUGCUUUGAGAAAUAAAAAAAAAACAAAGAUAUCAAGAAAUGAUACGUAUCCUUUUUUUAAAAAGGUAUAUAAAAAUAUUAAAAAAAAAAAUACCUUUAUUGUAAAUGCCUUAUAAAACAUAGUUUAUUGCUU
This 552-nucleotide unclassified non-coding RNA is filed under the name Melitaea cinxia (Glanville fritillary). RNAcentral's name for it is "misc RNA ENSMCXG00005001004.1". The record is from RNAcentral. Lineage: Eukaryota; Metazoa; Arthropoda; Insecta; Lepidoptera; Nymphalidae.